This 583-nucleotide long non-coding RNA is filed under the name Setaria viridis. Its description in RNAcentral is "long non-coding RNA (SVIR_LNC004214)". Lineage: Eukaryota; Viridiplantae; Streptophyta; Magnoliopsida; Poales; Poaceae. The record is from RNAcentral.
UAAUGAGUAGGGAAAGGAGAAAUCAGGAUAGCCCUGGAAUCACAUCGUUGUGGAGAACUUUGGUAAUAAAGAUUUUGGGAAGGGUUAGAAAUGUAAUCUCACUUUGAAAGCGACAUCUUGGGUAAGGGUCAAGUUACUAUCUUCUACGGGAUAUGCCUGGGAUGUAGUUGUUGGGUAUGGGUAUAACGGGUAUACGAAAAUAUAACUUUAUAGCACUAUUCAUUGAUAGGACAGCCACGGUUACCUUUGCUUGAGAUAUCUUUGCCUUCGUGUUGCUACUUCAUCUUACCUACUGUUUGGUUAAGGCCCAACAUUGCUACCUAACAUCCGGGUUAUUUCUCGUUCAGUUAUCAAUCACUUUUUUAUCCAAUGGAAUUUUGACACAUCAUCAACACAACAACCAAGAAAAAGUGAUUGAUACAACCACUAGAAAACACUCAAAAAUAGAAGAAAAUCAACAAUGAAAAAACUGAGUGGUAAUGAUCACAAAAAUCGCUCAGAUUUCUCUCCGAACGUUGCAUGUGAAAUAACAGACCAAUCUUGCCUCUGUGAGCACACUGAGACUAUACUUCCUCCUCACGCC